Molecule: long non-coding RNA, 3954 nt
Organism: Myotis myotis
Lineage: Eukaryota; Metazoa; Chordata; Mammalia; Chiroptera; Vespertilionidae
Exons: 3
Source: RefSeq, a predicted model, not a curated record
ACCUCGUCGUGAACAGACAGGCAGCUUGCCCAAGGGCACACAGUUUGUACCGGGUAAAGCCUAACCUGCAGACUGCGAUCCUUCUUGCUGUACCUCCACUGUGCUUGGUAUUUCAAAAAUCUACGCCCACCGACCUCUGCUACUAAAUACCUGGACAAAGAGCCGUGAAUCACAUGCUAAGAAGCCAUUAGGGUGGGGGCAGCUGGAUACAGAGCCCGGAGGUUUGAGCCAGUGCCGGCUUGUCACCCUCGUUCUCUGUUUACCCUGCUGCGGCGGCAGCCAAAGUGCAGCCUGGUGCUGAAGUCACCAGCCAGGGAGGGCCUCUCGUGCCCCGUCUCACUUCACCAUGUGCUCUGGGUACCUCUGCUUUAGAGCACUGGCCUGUGCUUGGAGGCAAGAAGAAAAAUUAGCUUAACCUAAGAUGGCUUGACACUUGAACACGGGGCAGAUUGCAUAAGUGCCCCAGGUCUGCAUCCCUGUCUGCGUCGCUACCCUCUGCCACGGGACUUCGCAGUUCUUUCUACCAAGAGAUGAUCCACUGAUUCGACUGGGGCAUCUGCUCUGGGUGUUGGUAGAUGGGAUACCAGCAGAGGCUUGGAAGCAUGCUUGCAUCACUGGACUUCUUCUCUUGCCCCUUUACUGUUUCCAUGAGAAGAGCACGCCUGGGCUGGCCCAGGGCCCUAGGAUGGGAGUAAGAGAUACGUGAGGCAGAGCUGCCCCCAGGAAGCUGCCCAGCCCAGCCCAGCUGACAACAGAACCAUCCAACUGACCCAGAGAUGCAUGAACAAACCCAGCCACGAUCGAUCGGCAGGUCUGCUUAGCCAACCUUCACCUGAACUGCAGGUGCAGGAGCUGGAGUAGGAAGUGAUUGGUGUGUUAAGCCUCUGAAUUUUGAGGUGGUUUGCUCCCCAGCAAUUGCAUUGAGAUCAUCGCCUCUGAGACAAAUAUGAUCAUGAUAUGAGCAACGAGAAACAAAAGCACUUUGCAAAUGUCAAAUUGUGAGGAGAGGGAAUAGACUGUUGAACACAUUCUGGACCUGGAACCUGAAGACCUGAGUUCAAAGCCACUCAUGCCCCCAAUUACUCUACACACUUGGGCAGAUAAUUUAAAAUUUCUGGGUCUUACCAUAAACUUACAGAGCUGGCUUGCAAACUCAAAGCCAUGAGAGCUUCGAGAGUAUGUCAGAAAAUUAAUAUGGUCCUAGAACUUCAUUGGUAGAGUUAAGAAAAAGACAGGGAAGGUGGGAGAGAGGUCAGAGAAUAAUUUAUUUGGGUAUAAAUGAAAUGUGAUAUCCCCCAAAAGGACGGACACAUGGAGUGGGGAAUUGGAUGAUUUUGAAGAAUAUGUUUGAUCAAAGGCUGAGAGGUAGACUUGGAGGCCAGAUAAAAGUCCCAUUUCUUCAGAGACCUGAAAGUGUGGGAUUCAUGAAUGAAUAGGUAGGAGAAAACCUUGAAUAUGGCUUACAGAAGGCACCUUCCCGACAUCUCUUCACUUGGAGUACAACAAAGCUGGAGACAAUUAUGAAGUCUUUGGUCAGGUGGAGAGAUAAUAGUCCAGACUGGCAGUUCAAUACACCUGUCUGGCUCUCUCUGAGCUACCUUUGACUUUUCCUGGUUGUGUAUUACCUGGCUUCGACAAGUCGCCUAUCCUGUGGACAAGUGGAUGAAACACGGUUCAUCUCUUCAUUAUGUAUCGGUUACAUGCCACAUUCCAGGAACUAGCUGGACCCUGGGGAUGAAACAGUCUUCAGACCUGGUUCCCGAGUUGGCCACCAACUGAGGAUGAAAUAGCAUGCAACUAUGAUGAAGAAAGGAAAACAGGAAGAGAAGAAGAAGAAGAGGAGGAGGAAGAGGCUCCUCAUGCAUUCACAUGGAGCAUUUCCAGGGUGUCCUGUUCAUGAAGAUGGUAGGAUGAUGCCCAGGGGAGAAAGGGAGUCUCUGGGAUUCCAGAAGGAGGGCACUGUGACUUACUGGAUCAGAGGCAGUAAGUUCUGCUUCCUCUGUGCCAACACUUACUGACUAUGUAUUAUAUGGAAAGUGCUUGGGUAUGUUUUAUAGAAUGUCUAAAAUGAUACGAGAGAAGUCCCUCUACCUACUACAGUCUAGUUGGGGUUGUACAUAGUCUUUAUAUAUAAAGAUUAAAACCAUCACAUGAUCAGUGAAUGAAUGUGGAAUCAGCUUGAGGUUGGGAUGAGGACAAAGUUUGAGCUUCAGGGAAUCAGGAGCCUUCAGAAGAAUUUCACUUGAGUUAGAGAAGGGUUUAAACAGAAGGAUUGUGGGAGCCAGGCAGGGCCUGCCAGGCGGGCCUCUCUUCGCAGAAACUGAAUUUAGAACGAGCAAGGUGAAGUUGGGGGCAAAUAGGACCACUUUGGCUGGAGACGGGGAGACGAGCUCAUAGAGCAACUCAGUGAUAAGAGCAGAAUGGUAGGUUGGAGCAAUACUGAAGAGGACCUGGGACGCCAAGAUAAAGAUCUGGAAUUUUGUUCAGGCAUGUGAACCAGGGGCAACAUGCACAAAGCAAUGAUUUGGAAGUGUAAUCUGGCCACCCUGUGCCAAGUGGUUAGCAGCGGAGGAGGUCUGAGGUUAGGAGACGCCUGAACACCUCAACAGAAGUCCGGGGACGAGGUGCAGAGGCCCAAGCUAGGUCGGUGGCUGGGAAAGUAGAAAAAAGAGAGAGAGACACUAAGGCUUUAUUUCUCAGCCUACCCUGCCUGGACAUGACUGUGCAUUCUCCGGACAAGUCAUAAUUAUCUUGGGUUUUAUUAUCUUGGGUUUUACAGGUGUAUGACAUUGCUGUUGUGCAAGUACAUGGGGGCCAAAGAACCUCAUCCAGUUGUGUCUCUGGCUGUUUGUCUGCAGAUGGUUCCAGACUGAAAACUGGUGUGAAAUAUGCUUCCCACACAUUCAGAGCUGCACCCAGCCUGCUUCUGUGCCCACAGAGAAAUCACAAAUGGAAGUCCCCUUCCUGAAAGCAAAUGCUAACGGGUACAGGUGGUUCUUAAAAGUAAUUUUUCUAGUAUCGAUCAGAACUUCCGUUGAUGUUUUCAUUUUAAAAAGGGGGUUGCUAAAAUAAUAACAGGGUGGCUAUUUUCAGGUCUUUAAAGGUAUUAAAUAGAUUGUGGGUGCUAUCAUGUGACGAGGUCUAUGCUCUAUUGCUAAGUGGUAAGAGCAAGUCUCCUGGCAGUAGCAUUACUGCUUCUGCUGGAAGCAUCGCAUAUAGGUUAGACAUGGAGUCGGGGAGGCCACCCUCCAGCUGGGGUACAGGACACGUGGGAAGGAGGGUGCAGAAUGGGCACGUCACUUUUUGCUUUUGAAUUGUUGUGGUAUUUGACGAGCAGGUUAAUGCCUAUAAAGAAGAAAUUCUUAAGGCAUUUAGUGUAUUCCAGAAAAGAACAGCCCCACAGUGCCUUCCUCAGGCUCAAGCCCAUGAUAAGAAAAUAAGACGAAAAUGCUAGUUAGGGAAGCAGAGGCAGGGAGGCGAUAGUGAACGUCUUCCGUGAGUCCAUAAACUGCUUCUCCGGGCUUACUCCCCAGCAGAACCUCGUCUGGUGAAGAGCUUGGACUUGUCUCCUUGGGCAAGUUUCUUAUGUCUCGGCCUCAGUUUCCUCAGCUGUAACAUGGGGCAGCUGUGGUAAAAUGAACUCAGGGAUAGAAAGCACCGCUUUGCAGAUGGCGGCCACCACCUCGGAGGCCUUCCGUAAUUACUGGCUAUGACUGCCAUCGUCUACCUGACAUUUCCAAACACUUAGCAUUGCCCUUGUACCUUUCCUUGACCCUUUAAUUAUUUAUUGGCUUGACCCCCUACUAGAAUGUGCACCUUAGAAGCAGGUUUGUAAGUUCUUUUAAUUGUUUUUCUUCUUUGCUGACAAAAAUAAUACAUUCUUUUUAAAAUAUAUAUAUAUUUUUUAUUGAUUUUUUUACAGAGAGGAAGGGAGAGGGAUAGAGAGCUGGAAAC